CGGACGGGUGAGUAAUGCUUGGGAAUCUAGCUUAUGGAGGGGGGUAACUACGGGAAACUGUAGCUAAUACCGCGUAAUAUCGAAAGAUUAAAGUGUGGGACCUUCGGGCCACAUGCCAUAGGAUGGGCCCAAGUGGGAUUAGGUAGUUGGUGAGGUAAAGGCUCACCAAGCCGACGAUCUCUAGCUGGUCUGAGAGGAUGACCAGCCACACUGGGACUGAGACACGGCCCAG
This 232-nucleotide ribosomal RNA is filed under the name uncultured bacterium. Its description in RNAcentral is "partial 16S ribosomal RNA". It matches the Rfam family "Bacterial small subunit ribosomal RNA", at positions 99 to 334 of the family's 1533-position model. The record is from RNAcentral.